Molecule: unclassified non-coding RNA, 309 nt
Filed under: Hevea brasiliensis (rubber tree)
Lineage: Eukaryota; Viridiplantae; Streptophyta; Magnoliopsida; Malpighiales; Euphorbiaceae
Source: RNAcentral
GCCUGGUAUAAACAGGAUACUAGAGCUGAAGGGAAGGGAAGAGCUGCUCGGCUUCAGAGAAGACUACUAGUUGUGGAGGUGGAGAAAGCAAUUAUGCAAUACCAGAGUUUUGUUGACCAAGGACGUGUGAAAGAUGCUGAAUGUAGGUUUGGGUUACUGUUGUAUAGUUUGGGUCGGUUGUACCAUGCUUCCGAGAACCAUGCCAAAGCAACUGGUGAAUGGCUAUAUUUGAGGCAGGAUAUUCUGGACCUGGGGAAGCCCAGUCUUCCAACAAGAGAUAAACUCAGAAUUACGUGGCGCAUGGAACGG